This 449-nucleotide ribosomal RNA is filed under the name uncultured bacterium. RNAcentral's name for it is "partial 16S ribosomal RNA". It matches the Rfam family "Bacterial small subunit ribosomal RNA", at positions 29 to 523 of the family's 1533-position model. The record is from RNAcentral.
AGCGAACGCUGGCGGCAGGCCUAACACAUGCAAGUCGAACGAAGUCUUCGGACUUAGUGGCGGACGGGUGAGUAACACGUGGGAACGUGCCCUUUGGUACGGAAUAACUCAGGGAAACUUGAGCUAAUACCGUAUGUGCCCUUCGGGGGAAAGAUUUAUCGCCAUUGGAGCGGCCCGCGUCUGAUUAGCUAGUUGGUGAGGUAAAGGCUCACCAAGGCGACGAUCAGUAGCUGGUCUGAGAGGAUGAUCAGCCACAUUGGGACUGAGACACGGCCCAAACUCCUACGGGAGGCAGCAGUGGGGAAUCUUGCGCAAUGGGCGAAAGCCUGACGCAGCCAUGCCGCGUGAAUGAUGAAGGUCUUAGGAUUGUAAAAUUCUUUCACCGGGGACGAUAAUGACGGUACCCGGAGAAGAAGCCCCGGCUAACUUCGUGCCAGCCGCCGCCGUAA